Molecule: ribosomal RNA, 253 nt
Filed under: uncultured bacterium
Lineage: Bacteria
Description: partial 16S ribosomal RNA
Rfam family: Bacterial small subunit ribosomal RNA
Source: RNAcentral
UACGGAGGGUGCGAGCGUUGUCCGGAAUCACUGGGCGUAAAGGGCGCGUAGGCGGCCUGGUAAGUAGGGGGUGAAAUCCUGCGGCUUAACCGCAGGGCUGCCUUCUAAACUGUCAGGCUCGAGCACGGUAGAGGCAGAUGGAAUUCCCGGUGUAGCGGUGGAAUGCGUAGAGAUCGGGAAGGACAUCAGUGGCGAAGGCGGUCUGCUGGGCCGUUGCUGACGCUGAGGCGCGACAGCGUGGGGAGCAAACAGG